Cynoglossus semilaevis (tongue sole) is the source of this 2213-nucleotide long non-coding RNA. RefSeq lists it as uncharacterized. The transcript is spliced from 4 exons. Lineage: Eukaryota; Metazoa; Chordata; Actinopteri; Pleuronectiformes; Cynoglossidae. The record is from RefSeq and is a predicted model, not a curated record.
AUAAUAAAAUGAUAGUAAUAAUUUGUACUAAUUAAACCUUUUUUAAGUUUUAUCAUUCUGAUUUUCGUCUCAGUUUGAACGAUAACUCUUGAGAAUACCACCAUGUCACUUCCUUUACUCUAUUAAUGAUGUCAUGUAUCUGCCUUGAGUGACACAUCAGCAGCCACGCAAUAGAUACCCCUGAGUGUGAUCCAAUUGUCCAUGGUGGGAUCAGUGGAUCAUGCAGGACCCUCCUGCUAUGCUGCCCUCCCUCCUACUUCCCCCUGAGCAACAGUAUGGGGGCCUGUGGUACAACAGGGGCAGGCUGGGGGAAGGGGGUAAGGGGAGGAAGGGGAGAUCAAUAGGGAUUUAGUGUGUUUUAUUGUGUGUGUGUGUGUGUGUCUGGUGUCUGUUUCCCGUUCCUGUUGUGUGUGUAUGUGUCUAUUAAAGUGGUGUGGCAGCGGUGGAAGGGAGAGCAAAGUCUUUUAGUUCAAUGCUGUGGUUGUGACUGAUAGGGCAGUGGGCCCCUGUGUGUGUGGGGCCCCCGGGGACCGUCUUUGUAUUGGCAGACUCUGUAGAGAGGCUUUCUGUUCCCCCAUCGAUCCCAACAUGUCAAUUAGACAGACUCAAAUAAAUGUGCCCUCCACAUCAACGGGUCGCCCGUAUGCAGAGGCUCCCAUGUAAAUGACACCCUCACAUUAGACCCCGUGUCAUCGGAGCCGAGCCAAUACCGAAAGGUUCUCUGGGUUAGAAUUGACCCAGAGGUUUUCCUCUGCACAGAUUGUUUUACGUGUUGACCCUGAACACAUGUAGCUAAAUCUUCUCUGAAAAAAAAAAACACCAACUCCAACAACUGCAGACUGUUUCAACAAUGUGUAUAAUGAUGUUGUAUGAGGAGAGUUGUUGAAGGACACAAUGUGCAAAAGCUUUGCUGUAAAACAGGAACAUUAUUAGAUUAGAAUUUCAAGCUCAGUUAGCUAAGCUAAACAGCUUAGCGGCUAAACAGAUCCUCCCAUUCCUGGCAAUGGAUUAUUAAGAGCAAAGGUUUGUCAUAUCACACCUGAAUGAUCAAUAUGUCUCCAAGGCCUGCAGGUCAGUUUGUAUGGCUCAGCACAAAGACUAACAGUGAUCUAAUCCUUCUGACAACACUGACUGUUGAAACAACAAACAGAGUAUUACAUGAAGCGUGAGGCCUUUUUUUUCUGCAAAGAAAUUCCAACAAAUUACAUUGAUGGUGAAUGUUAUUUAACCCCUUGUACCUCAUUCUUUUCUUUUUUAAAUUUUUUUUAAAUGACAAAAUCCCACUUAAAUGAUGCGAACAGACAAAAAUCUAAUAGUAUUUAGCAUAGAAAUGCCAAACCACAACAAAACCAAUUUAGGGUUGAGUUUUUGAAAGAUUAUUUCUAGAGCAUCAUCUAGACAAGAGCGCCUCCAUUCAGCAACUUAACAAUUAGCCUUUUUAUGCUAGUAUUUUGGGGACUUCAGGUUUUACUACGUUAGUUUUAAAUAUUUAACAUUAGUCCACCUUUCUCAUUAAAGAAAACAACGAUCAACUAGAAACCAAAAAGCUUGUUGACUGAAGGGUUUGCUUCACAAUGUAAAUGUUCUCCCUAUUUUAGACCCUGACGAUGGACACAGACCCAGGGUCACAAAUGGACUUCUGAAGAACCUGGAUGAGACCAUAAAAUUGACUGUGUCCAAACAAGCCCGCCAUUAAAGAGACAGAUUGGAGAAACGGCUCUUGAAGUGAUGCAAGCCUGACUGCAGCCACUGGCACAAUCCACGAGGAGCCUGGGGGGAUGGAGAGAUGAUGGAUGACCCCAGUGAUGGACCACCCUUGAACCCUAACUGGUGCCCACCCAGUGAAGGGGCGAUUCUCUGAGCCAAGGUCCUGCAGGUUGUUCCAUUCUCAGCAGUAUCAUCCUGAAACAAACAGAGCGGAUUGGGUCGUGUUUCUGAAGUCGGCUGUUUGUUGGAAUUCCACGGCAUCCAGGGAGUGAGGAUAACAGCGGACUAUUAAAUCCGUGACACAGCUGUUCAAAGACCGAGCGGCGGUGCUGCUGCUGCUGCACUCCAGCGGCGGUGCGACACGGUCCACACGGUCUGACGGUGCUAGCAGCCAUUGUGAUGGUUAAAUAUGGGAUAUUUGCGCAGAGCGAAAAACCAAAUGCACUUGCAGGCUCGGAAAAAGGAGCCCCGUAGUAGCGCUGAUUAGAAAACCAGUUUGUUUCGGC